AUUGAACGCUGGCGGCAGGCCUAACACAUGCAAGUCGAACGGUAACAGGAAGAAGCUUGCUUCUUUGCUGACGAGUGGCGGACGGGUGAGUAAUGUCUGGGAAACUGCCUGAUGGAGGGGGAUAACUACUGGAAACGGUAGCUAAUACCGCAUAACGUCGCAAGACCAAAGAGGGGGACCUUCGGGCCUCUUGCCAUCGGAUGUGCCCAGAUGGGACUAGCUAGUAGGUGGGUUAACGGCUCACCUAGGCGACGAUCCCUAGCCGGUCUGAGAGGAUGACCAGCCACACUGGAACUGAGACACGGUCCAGACUCCUACGGGAGGCAGCAGUGGGGAAUAUUGCACAAUGGGCGCAAGCCUGAUGCAGCCAUGCCGCGUGUAUGAAGAAGGCCUUCGGGUUGUAAAGUACUUUCAGCGGGGAGGAAGGGAGUAAAGUUAAUACCUUUGCUCAUUGACGUUACCCGCAGAAGAAGCACCGGCUAACUCCGUG
RNAcentral lists this ribosomal RNA (490 nucleotides) under uncultured bacterium. RNAcentral describes it as "partial 16S ribosomal RNA". It matches the Rfam family "Bacterial small subunit ribosomal RNA", at positions 30 to 507 of the family's 1533-position model. The record is from RNAcentral.